RNAcentral lists this ribosomal RNA (484 nucleotides) under uncultured bacterium. RNAcentral's name for it is "partial 16S ribosomal RNA". It matches the Rfam family "Bacterial small subunit ribosomal RNA", at positions 30 to 507 of the family's 1533-position model. The record is from RNAcentral.
AUUGAACGCUGGCGGCAGGCCUAACACAUGCAAGUCGAGCGGAUGAAGGGAGCUUACUCCUGGAUUCAGCGGCGGACGGGUGAGUAAUGCCUAGGAAUCUGCCUGGUAGUGGGGGAUAACGUCCGGAAACGGGCGCUAAUACCGCAUACGUCCUGAGGGAGAAAGUGGGGGAUCUUCGGACCUCACGCUAUCAGAUGAGCCUAGGUCGGAUUAGCUAGUUGGUGGGGUAAAGGCCUACCAAGGCGACGAUCCGUAACUGGUCUGAGCGGAUGAUCAGUCACACUGGAACUGAGACACGGUCCAGACUCCUACGGGAGGCAGCAGUGGGGAAUAUUGGACAAUGGGCGAAAGCCUGAUCCAGCCAUGCCGCGUGUGUGAAGAAGGCCUUCGGAUUGUAAAGCACUUUAAGUUGGGAGGAAGGGCAGUAAGUUAAUACCUUGCUGUUUUGACGUUACCAACAGAAUAAGCACCGGCUAACUUCGUG